Molecule: ribosomal RNA, 506 nt
Filed under: uncultured bacterium
Lineage: Bacteria
Description: partial 16S ribosomal RNA
Rfam family: Bacterial small subunit ribosomal RNA
Source: RNAcentral
AGUGAACGCUGGCGGUAGGCCUAACACAUGCAAGUCGAACGGCAGCACAGGAGAGCUUGCUCUCUGGGUGGCGAGUGGCGGACGGGUGAGGAAUACAUCGGAAUCUACUCUGUCGUGGGGGAUAACGUAGGGAAACUUACGCUAAUACCGCAUACGACCUACGGGUGAAAGCAGGGGAUCUUCGGACCUUGCGCGAUUGAAUGAGCGGAUGUCGGAUUAGCUAGUUGGCGGGGUAAAGGCCCACCAAGGCGACGAUCCGUAGCUGGUCUGAGAGGAUGAUCAGCCACACUGGAACUGAGACACGGUCCAGACUCCUACGGGAGGCAGCAGUGGGGAAUAUUGGACAAUGGGCGCAAGCCUGAUCCAGCCAUACCGCGUGGGUGAAGAAGGCCUUCGGGUUGUAAAGCUCUUUUGUUGGGAAAGAAAUCCAGCUGGCUAAUACCCGGUUGGGAUGACGGUACCCAAAGAAUAAGCACCGGCUAACUUCGUGCCAGCAGCCGCAGUAA